This is a long non-coding RNA of Schistocerca piceifrons (Central American locust), 360 nucleotides long. RefSeq lists it as uncharacterized. The record is from RefSeq and is a predicted model, not a curated record. NCBI's taxonomy places the organism in Eukaryota, Metazoa, Arthropoda, Insecta, Orthoptera, Acrididae. The transcript has 3 exons.
AGCUGCUUCAUACACUGCUCAUGUUGUUGGAAAUAGAUUUGGAAGGCGGAUAACACACUGCCUCGUGCUAUUGGCUGCUGGUUUGUUGUGCAUCAUCCUCAUAUGCUUAACCGCAGCACACUCAACCCAGUGGAUCAUAACUACACUUUCUCUUGUGCUACUCUUCUGCUGUGACUGCUCAUAUUUACUCACAAAUAUACAGAGCUUGGAAUUGCAUCCAACGAGUUUACGACAGAUAGGCAUCGCAAUUGAAUACGUCUUCGUUCAAUGCAGUAUGAGUGUUCCACCUUACGUAGCUCACUUGGGUAAGACUGCUGGAAUGCAUAUCGCUUUCGCCAUACUUGCGGCCGUGACCCUGAU